Molecule: long non-coding RNA, 517 nt
Organism: Seriola aureovittata
Lineage: Eukaryota; Metazoa; Chordata; Actinopteri; Carangiformes; Carangidae
Exons: 3
Source: RefSeq, a predicted model, not a curated record
UUCCCUCCAUCUCUGUAACCAAUCUGUAAGCAUACUUGACUGCAGCCCUUGCAGCAGCACGACUCUACAAACUCCAGCUCUCCUCUGACAAAAUGCCAGAUUGCAACGAAGCCGUGCCAGCAUCAUGCCAGGUUAUCAAAGAGGACGUUGACAAAUGUGUCAGAGAGAAGGGAGUGGAGAACUGUACAGAUCUGAUAGAUGCCUUCCAGGCCUGUAUAAAAACCCUGUCUGAGUGUUCCUAAUACAUAAGGAAAUACAUCUUAAUAAAAUCUUCACUUUAUCAAAGUCCUUCACUUUCCCAGCAUUCCCCUCCUUGCCUCUUGCAUUGGACUGAACCAUCUCCAAAACUGAAGAGGGGGUGAUGACAUUAAACACAUUAAACUCUGGAUACUUUAUGCUUCUGUGAAUUUUUCUUUCAUAUAGGUUAUAAUUACAAUAUGGACUAUACUGUAACACUGAUUAUCUAUGCACUGUAAAUGUUUGCUAUGCACAAAACAAUGAAUAUUACUACACAGUA